Molecule: long non-coding RNA, 1067 nt
Organism: Biomphalaria glabrata
Lineage: Eukaryota; Metazoa; Mollusca; Gastropoda; Planorbidae
Exons: 3
Source: RefSeq, a predicted model, not a curated record
AGAUCUUAUUCAAGAAAUGGAGUGCCAUACAGAUUUGUAAAGCAUCUCUGAGUAGUAAAUAUGAACAGCAGAACUAGUAGACUUAAAACAAGGCAACACCUGUUAGUAGAAUCCUUCCUUUUUUUCUGAUUCUAUUAUCUUGUAUAUUUUAUUUAAUAUUUUCAAUAUGUAUAAUUAUAUAUAUUUUUGUACUUUUUUUCCCUUUUUUUUCUGAGGUCAAGGCCAAGUUUAUUCUCAAUAGAACAUCCUUCUUGAAGCACAAAUAUUUCCAAACUAUGAAACAACAGAUAUUGCCUUACAACUCAAGAUGUUGAGUAUUGAUAACUAAUCAACUACUAGCCUGGGAGAUAAAAGCCAAAGCUGUAAACAGACAGGUCAGGUAAAUAUAUGAAUGAAGAAUUGAAACUAGAAGCUAACAUCAUGGGAAGUCUAAUUAUAGGGCAAGUAUUUUUCUUUCAUAUCUUAUUGAACAUAGUCAAACCAUGCUAUACUUAUAGGCUUAACUAUUGUUUUCAUAGAAACAAUGUUAUUUUAAAUAUCAUGAGAUAGUGUAUUUAAGACAUUCUAAUUCAAGUUUCCAUAUUUCAUCAGCUUAACAAGCGCACAUUCUCUGCUGCCAACAGUACCAAUUAGUCAUCCAAGCAACAAAUAUUCCUUGGUAAUCUGCUAUCAGAUGACAGUUUUCUCUUUAGCAUUUUUAUGAAUUAAAGCUUUCAAGGCCAAAGUAAGACUUAAUUUUUUUCUUUUCUUUAAUUGCUAAUUCUAAAAUAAUUUAUCAUUGCAUGUUAAAAACAAUAAAUAACUUUUUAUACAUUUUUCUGUGUUUUGGUCAAGCUUCAGAUUAGUUUAGCAUAUUCCUGUACUACAUAUCAACAAAUGUUUGAUGGUCUGUCUGGUUCAUCUCUUAACACUAUGAAGAUAACAACACUAAGCUUAACAAGCAAACAUUCUGUUGCCAACAGUACCCAUUUGUCAUCCUAUCCAAGCAACUAAUAAUUCUCAGUAAUCUGCUAUCAGAUGAUUACAGUUUUCUCUUUGGCAUUUGUAUGAAUUAAAGCUUUCAAAGC